This 659-nucleotide long non-coding RNA is filed under the name Marmota marmota marmota (Alpine marmot). Its description in RNAcentral is "lncRNA (ENSMMMG00000008097.1)". Lineage: Eukaryota; Metazoa; Chordata; Mammalia; Rodentia; Sciuridae. The record is from RNAcentral.
CCAUAACUUUGCUAUCACAUGAUUCAAUUAUGUAGUUUUAAAAGUCUGAAUUAGCUAUUUAUUUUCUAAUGUUUCACUUAGGUAUGCCACUGCUCCACAUAGGAAUUCAGUUCCAUUUUGACAGCAACUUAAUAACAGAAUCUUCAGAGAAAUAAGUCCUACCUCAAGCUAAUAAGGGAUAUAUUAAGAGGAAGGAAAGGUCUGCACCUGCUUCCACAUCUUCCAUGUUUUCCAAGAGCAGCAGAAAAUGAGUAAAUCCCUGAAGAAGUCAAUGAAACCAAAGGACACAAAGCCCAUCUGAGAGGAGGGAAGCAUGGGCACAUCCCAUCCCUGCAGAGACUGGAGCCGAAGCUGCAUCUGACAGCUUUGUACCUUCACCAAUGUCGCAUUUUCUUCUGCCUCUGGAUUCCCAAGAGAGACGCCCAAUUCAGCUACCUGGCUAGUGACAUGGAGAAGGAUAACCAGGCUCCUACACAAGACAUCUUUAGUUUCUUCUGUGGGAAGAGCUAUACCCAGCAUCCCUUGUUCCACAGACCAUGCUACCAAUCAUCUGUUCCAUGAGCUGGAAAUGCAAGUUUCCAUGGAGGAGUGUGUGAAGGUGGGUGCAGCCGUGUGUGCUUGUAGAGAGGGAUGGGCUGGAUAGGACAGACAUGGGAAAG